RNAcentral lists this ribosomal RNA (689 nucleotides) under Pseudomonas sp. RNAcentral describes it as "partial 16S ribosomal RNA". It matches the Rfam family "Bacterial small subunit ribosomal RNA", at positions 78 to 763 of the family's 1533-position model. Lineage: Bacteria; Pseudomonadati; Pseudomonadota; Gammaproteobacteria; Pseudomonadales; Pseudomonadaceae. The record is from RNAcentral. RNAcentral also lists the same sequence under 1 other name.
GCUUGCUUCUCUUGAGAGCGGCGGACGGGUGAGUAAUGCCUAGGAAUCUGCCUGGUAGUGGGGGAUAACGUCCGGAAACGGACGCUAAUACCGCAUACGUCCUACGGGAGAAAGCAGGGGACCUUCGGGCCUUGCGCUAUCAGAUGAGCCUAGGUCGGAUUAGCUAGUUGGUGGGGUAAUGGCUCACCAAGGCGACGAUCCGUAACUGGUCUGAGAGGAUGAUCAGUCACACUGGAACUGAGACACGGUCCAGACUCCUACGGGAGGCAGCAGUGGGGAAUAUUGGACAAUGGGCGAAAGCCUGAUCCAGCCAUGCCGCGUGUGUGAAGAAGGUCUUCGGAUUGUAAAGCACUUUAAGUUGGGAGGAAGGGCAGUAAAUUAAUACUUUGCUGUUUUGACGUUACCGACAGAAUAAGCACCGGCUAACUCUGUGCCAGCAGCCGCGGUAAUACAGAGGGUGCAAGCGUUAAUCGGAAUUACUGGGCGUAAAGCGCGCGUAGGUGGUUCGUUAAGUUGGAUGUGAAAUCCCCGGGCUCAACCUGGGAACUGCAUUCAAAACUGACGAGCUAGAGUAUGGUAGAGGGUGGUGGAAUUUCCUGUGUAGCGGUGAAAUGCGUAGAUAUAGGAAGGAACACCAGUGGCGAAGGCGACCACCUGGACUGAUACUGACACUGAGGUGCGAAAGCGUG